Long non-coding RNA from Hemicordylus capensis (graceful crag lizard), 556 nucleotides. RefSeq lists it as uncharacterized. The transcript is spliced from 3 exons. NCBI's taxonomy places the organism in Eukaryota, Metazoa, Chordata, Lepidosauria, Squamata, Cordylidae. The record is from RefSeq and is a predicted model, not a curated record.
AGUGACAUCUUUGAAGUGUUUGCAGUAGGAAUGCAACAAAAAGAAAGAGGAAAUUUCUCAGCGGCUACUCCUGUGCAAGCACAGAGGAGUCAGAGCAACGGCAGAGAAGUGCAGGCAAUAAGAUGAGUUUUCUGCAGAUAUACCUGGGAGUAUUUCACACCACCCAAUAGCAGUUGUUUAUGAUCGCUCAGGACUGCUUCAAUUCAAGACACUGGAACUGUCACUUGUUCUAAAUCCUCCUCCGCCUCCCCCAUCCUCCCUCUCAAUAUGCCAUUCUCCUCAUGAACAGUUGCAUCUCAGCUGUCAGUGUGAAUGGCAAAGAUGUCCUUUACUGAUAAGACUAUGCCUGUGGCACAGAGAGUUCCUCCGAACAGCUAAUUAGCAGUAGGUAGGCCACUACAAGGUUCAAUGCUGUCCUUCAAGUUGGCUGCCAACACUGACACCAUCAGCUGAACUGUCAUAUUUUGUUCCUCACUCGAAGGAACAGGUGAGGUUUUGGGGGGUCUAUGGAAAGAUGGCGGCACCCAAGUGAAGAGGAAGAAAAAUUACAGAAGAC